Molecule: unclassified non-coding RNA, 300 nt
Filed under: uncultured fungus
Lineage: Eukaryota; Fungi
Description: sequence contains 5.8S rRNA gene, ITS2
Rfam family: 5.8S ribosomal RNA (bases 1-71)
Source: RNAcentral
GUGAGUCAUCGAAUCUUUGAACGCACAUUGCGCCUACUGGUAUUCCGGUAGGCAUGUCUGUUUGAGCGUCAGCAAAAUACUCUCAAUACGUAUUUAUUUAUGUUCUGGUUAUGGGUUGGGAGUUAUUGGCGUUAGCCAACUCUCACCUUAAACUUGCUGCAUGACCGCAAGCUGCCUUUGGCUAGGUUUAUGGAGUGGCGUUUGCAUAUCUUCCGUACUCCGUCAGGUCCAGCUUUCGCGGCGUUAAACCUUACGUUGCUUCCAUAGUAACUGAUGUUUGACCUCAAAUCAGAUAGGGAU